GAAUAUUGACAACGUCAGAUAGCUCAGAUAGACAGAACCGCUUGUAGACGCUGCGUCUACGAAAAUAUAUUUUUAUUUUGAUUGUGAUUCAUUUAACGAGCGCGUUACGUCGGCCGCCGCGUGCUUCGGGAGCAAUUAAAAACUUUAUUUACAAUCAAAGUGACGUGUGCGAGUUUUCGACAUUUUUGUGUGGUAACCUCUUAGGUUUUUUUUCGCCGUGUUUUGAGAACUGCAAGACAGAUCGAUAUGUGCAAGACGUACUACAGAUGACUCUGAACGGUUUCACAGCCUCGUGUUGUUUUCUGAUGCGGUCGCUGUGGUGAUACAGGGCGGGAUGCAGGGCGGCGGCGCGCCUGCCCCCGACGCCGAUCAGGCCCAGUUCGAGGCAGACAAGAGGGCAGUAUACAAACAUCCUCUGUUCCCCCUACUGGCGUUGCUCCUGGAGCGAUGCGAGCAGGCCACGGCGGGAGCAGAGCCUCCCGCGGCGGACGCCUUCGGGGCGGACCUGCAGGCGUUCGUGCAGCACCAGCGGAGGGACAGAAGGCCGUUCCUAGUCGACGAUCCUGAGAUAGAUGGACUGAUGAUUAAGAGCAUACAGGUCCUCAGGAUCCAUCUGCUAGAACUGGAGAAGGUGCAGGAGCUGUGUCGAGACUUCUGCGGUCGGUACAUAGCGUGCCUCAAGACUAAAAUGCAGAGCGAAAACCUUCUCAGGACAGAUUACACUGCAGGGGGAGUUGAGAGCAAUAACAAUGUCUCCGGCUCUAUGGACGACCAUUCCAGCACAUCUAACUCGCCACAGUACCAGAGCCCCGCGGCGCCGCUGCCGCCGCCGGCCGCGUACCCGCCGGUGUUCGCGCCGCACGCGCCGCACGCCGACGCGCCCUACGUGCCGCACGCGCCGCACCGCGACCAGCCUUCACUAGUCGUCCAAGGCUCCACGCCAAUUGGUCAGAUUGGCGUUGGGUUGCUGCCCACUGAUGCCUAUACCGGCACGAACUCGAACAACUCGUGUUCGUCGGUGUCGGGGUCGCCGCCGCCCGAGGAGGAGUGCGCGGAGGACGGCAGCGGCAAGCGCGGCGUGCUGCCGCGACACGCCACGCAGGUCAUGCGCGCCUGGCUCUUCCAGCACCUCGUGACGCACGGACGAAAUGUUGCAGCAUCCGUACCCUACCGAGGAAGAGAAGCGCACACUAGCGGCGCAGACCCGGCUCACGCUGCUGCAGGUGAACAACUGGUUCAUCAACGCGCGCCGGCGCAUCCUGCAGCCGAUGCUGGACUGCGCUGACAAACCUGGUGGCAAGAAGAGUAAAAAUGGUUCGUCCAUAAAUAAAAGGUACUGGCCCGAUGCUCUCUCCAAUCCACAGUUCACCGCGGGUCUCCUCUCAUCAUCAGAAGACGAGGAUCAAGACGGUGAUCAUUCCGGUGAUGAACAAGACCCGCAGAACGACGACCAGUCGUCGGAACAUUCAAACUAUUCAAUACAACAGAGCAUGCAUUGAAUAUAGUCGCAAACUGUACGACCA
Molecule: unclassified non-coding RNA, 1523 nt
Filed under: Manduca sexta (tobacco hornworm)
Lineage: Eukaryota; Metazoa; Arthropoda; Insecta; Lepidoptera; Sphingidae
Description: homeobox protein PKNOX2-like, transcript variant X1
Source: RNAcentral